Molecule: non-coding RNA, 268 nt
Organism: Pelobates cultripes (western spadefoot toad)
Lineage: Eukaryota; Metazoa; Chordata; Amphibia; Anura; Pelobatidae
Source: the annotation of a GenBank genome assembly
CUUCUCCCUGGCGUGGUCUCCCUAAGUACUGUCAGAGCCGCGUCAGAAGGGGGCAGGGCCGGCUCCGCAAUGCGGAAGUGCCGAACCCGGAAGAGAUACCGCAUGACAGGACCCCCCACCUAAGGAGCACUCUGCGGGUGCUGUUACCUCGGUUUCUGAGGGUACCUUUUGUGAAAAGCAGUAAUUAACUUUUUUGCAUUAAUUUCAGAGGAAUUCUCCCAGGUGUUAUCUUCAUCUCCAUAACUCUUCCAUCUAAUAAGGUAUUGUA